Molecule: ribosomal RNA, 434 nt
Filed under: Alternaria sp. FL-2010i
Lineage: Eukaryota; Fungi; Ascomycota; Dothideomycetes; Pleosporales; Pleosporaceae
Also listed under: 8 other names
Description: eukaryotic LSU rRNA
Rfam family: 5.8S ribosomal RNA (bases 111-264)
Source: RNAcentral
CACCCUUGUCUUUUGCGUACUUCUUGUUUCCUUGGUGGGUUCGCCCACCACUAGGACAAACAUAAACCUUUUGUAAUUGCAAUCAGCGUCAGUAACAAAUUAAUAAUUACAACUUUCAACAACGGAUCUCUUGGUUCUGGCAUCGAUGAAGAACGCAGCGAAAUGCGAUAAGUAGUGUGAAUUGCAGAAUUCAGUGAAUCAUCGAAUCUUUGAACGCACAUUGCGCCCUUUGGUAUUCCAAAGGGCAUGCCUGUUCGAGCGUCAUUUGUACCCUCAAGCUUUGCUUGGUGUUGGGCGUCUUGUCUCUAGCUUUGCUGGAGACUCGCCUUAAAGUAAUUGGCAGCCGGCCUACUGGUUUCGGAGCGCAGCACAAGUCGCACUCUCUAUCAGCAAAGGUCUAGCAUCCAUUAAGCCUUUUUUUCAACUUUUGACCU